Molecule: ribosomal RNA, 630 nt
Filed under: Patulibacter sp. M29T23
Lineage: Bacteria; Bacillati; Actinomycetota; Thermoleophilia; Solirubrobacterales; Patulibacteraceae
Description: bacterial SSU rRNA
Rfam family: Bacterial small subunit ribosomal RNA
Source: RNAcentral
UGCAAGUGGAGCGACGAACCGGGGCUUGCCCCGGGGCAGAGCCGCGAACGGGUGAGUAACACGUGGGUUACCUGCCCCGAUGACUGGGACAACCCGUCGAAAGACGGGCUAAUACCGGAUGUGCCCUUUGGGGGAAAGGAAGCUUCGGCCUCCGCAUCGGGAUGGGCCCGCGGCGCAUUAGCUUGUUGGUGGGGUAAUGGCUUACCAAGGCGACGAUGCGUAGCUGGUCUGAGAGGACGAUCAGCCACACUGGGACUGAGACACGGCCCAGACUCCUACGGGAGGCAGCAGUGGGGAAUCUUGCACAAUGCGCGAAAGCGUGAUGCAGCAACGCCGCGUGCGGGAAGAAGGCCUUAGGGUUGUAAACCGCUUUCAGUUGGGACGAAGCUUCGCUGGUGAAUAGCCAAUUGGAGUGACGGUACCUUCAGAAGAAGCGCCGGCUAACUACGUGCCAGCAGCCGCGGUAAUACGUAGGGCGCGAGCGUUGUCCGGAAUCAUUGGGCGUAAAGCGCGUGUAGGCGGCUGAGUAAGUCUGCUGUGAAAGUCCAGGGCUCAACCCUGGAAUGUCGGCAGAUACUGCUUAGCUAGAGUACGGGAGGGGCGAGUGGAAUUCCUGGUGUAGCGGUGGAA